CAAGCAGCUCCAUUCCCCACGGCAACUGUGCAGAGAGGCUUGCAGGUCCAAACCACUGGUAGCAGCCCCUGGUAUAUCCAGGACAUCAGCACAUAGAACCAGUGAAAGGGUCCUCCCUCAUAGUGACGCAUGUCAUAGACUCAGAUUUAUACAAACAAAUGCUGAGCAAACCAUGAAGAGUCUCUGGUAUUUUCAACAAUAUCAUCACAGAGGAACUGUAUUGAUUUCCUUGAAUUCUUGACCAAGACUACAAAUGUAGCCCAUUUGACAUCGAAAACAUUGGGACAGGUGUGAGAGUGAGGAAAAUGGGGAGAAAAAAGAACUUUGAAGACAAGGAUUUGAAGUUAGCAUGAAGCAUGGAAAGGAGGAAGGGCAAGCUUUCUGCAGUGAGGACAGUGCCUGCCAGAGAAAACCAGAUCCUGGGGAGGGGUUUCUCCAGAAAGAGAAAGUCAAAGCUGCAGGUAGGCUCUGGAGACAAGGAGCUCGCAUGCAGUGAAGGUGGCGGCCACAUUGAGAAAUCACUCCAGGCUGAAGGACAUGCACCAAAGGCGGGAGGGGUGGCACCAUGGACAGAGCUUCGGAUGGGUGCAGGUGGGGCUAAGAAGGCAGCAUGGGGCAGAUGCUGCAAGUAUGGAAGCCAGGACACGAGCUUCCUUCCAACCACCAAAGGGCAACUCACAAGCAAAAUUCUUUCCUAAUGCUUCACCACGUUUUUUUUCUUUUUUAGACAGAUCUCACUCUGUUGCCCAGGCUGGAGUGCAGUAGUGCAGUCACAGCUCACUGCAGCCUCAAACUCCUGGGCUGAAAGGAUCCUGGCACCUCAGCCUCCUGAGUAGCUGGGACUACAGGUGUGCGCCAUCAUACCCAGCUAAUUUUUUUAUUUUUUGCAGAUACGGGGUCUCCCUAUGUUGCUUAGGCUGGUCUUGAGCUCCUAGCCUCAAGUCAUUCUCUUACCUUGGCCUCCCAAAGUGCUGGGAUUACAGGUGUGAGCCAUGGUGCCUGGCGACCUCACCAUUUUUGCUGACUGAAUCACUUGACUAACCUAACUAUAGCUUGCUGCUGAAGAUGCUGGCAACCUAGUAGACAAUACGUCAAGAUGUGAGGAUGCUCCAUAGUAAUGUAAUACCUUCCAUUCAACCAAGGUUAAAAGUGUCAACUAAAUGCUAAUGUCUCCACCAACCACAGAUGGGGUUUGCAGGAGCAAUGGCUGUAGGGACACUAAGAUUUCACCCUCCAGAAGACAGCAUCUUCCUGUGCCAUGGCUAGAUCACCAGCUACCCACAGACAGCCUGAACUCCAAUUGUCUUCCUGCACAUGUGCCUUUAAAGGAACUUUUCAAAUGUAGAGGAGCCUUUAGAAGGAAGCCUUGAGCAUGAGGACAGACCCCCCUCAUCCAACCACCACCUGACUCUGUGUGAACCUGGAACUGUUAGAAUGUCUGUGCUGUGAUAAAAGGUCAUCUCCCUACAAUGUUAUGAUACAGACCUCAAACCUACAAACAUGAGGAACUUCUGCCUCCAGGUUAACUGCUUACCCACUGUACAAGACACGUUACACACAGUCCAGGAGGCGGAGCUUCUGAGAUAUCUAGAAACAGCUUAGAGGCAAAAUGACAAAAUAAAGCAGCAACAACAAAUAAAACCAAUCUUCUCGAACU
This 1657-nucleotide long non-coding RNA is filed under the name Homo sapiens (human). RNAcentral's name for it is "HSALNT0393056". Lineage: Eukaryota; Metazoa; Chordata; Mammalia; Primates; Hominidae. The record is from RNAcentral.